This is a long non-coding RNA of Homo sapiens (human), 1612 nucleotides long. RefSeq lists it as uncharacterized. Lineage: Eukaryota; Metazoa; Chordata; Mammalia; Primates; Hominidae. The transcript is spliced from 3 exons. The record is from RefSeq and is a predicted model, not a curated record.
ACAGGGCACCAAGAGACCACCUGCCCAACAGAUCUUCACUCAUUGCCUUACCAAACCUGAAAUUACCUUAGCAAAAGCAAGUAAAUGUGGCCACUCUAGGGCCCCGACCUGGAUUCCUAGCCAGACCAGCCACUGGUGCUCUCUAUCUGAUGCAGCCAGGUUGGUCUCUCUCAACCUCCCCAAACAUGCCCAUGCCUUCCUGCUCCUCUCUACCUGGGCAUGGGCUAUGCCCACCUCCAGGAGGUCCACCAUGAAGGCGUGAGCCCAGUAAUAUGGAAAUGUCUGUUAUCAGGGCCUUUAGGGUAUCCUGUGAUGGUGGGAAGGGGAUGCUAGCACGGGGCCAGGAACAGCAGGAGGUUUGAGGCUGCAUUGGAGAAGGACAGAGCUGGGCUCUUGAAUCCUAAGGCUUUCAUCUCAGGCAUGAAUCUGGUGACAUCAGGACAUUCUCCAGAGCCCAUUGGUACAGGCAGAUUAGGGCAGGUUUGAGAGAUUCUAGAAUCAGGUAGAUAGUACAUUUUGGCAUGUCUAGAUAAUUGAGCUUAGAAAUCAAGCAAUCCAGCCCCUCACUUUACAGUUAAGGAAAUGGAGGUUCAGAGAGAUUCUGAGCUCUUCCCCAUCUUACAUCUGGAAGAGGCCAGGCCAGGGCUCAGAUCCAGGGCCUUUCAUGAAGCAGCCAGGGCCACAUGCCUGGAUCACAGCUGGAAAGCUAUGCCCUAGCAGGGCUGCUGUUUGCAGCUGUUCAGGCCUUGCCUUGCUUUUUAUAGACUGAAGUAUGAGCAACACUGCCUGGGGGUGAGCAGUGCACACACUGCACCACUGUCCGGGGAGGCUCUGAGUCAGAGUCAAAGCAAAGGCCUGAGAGCUCCCAUCAGAGAGGUCCCAUCUCUUGGGCUGGGCUGGGUAUGUGGUGAAAAUGGAGGCAGGAGGGUGACUCGGAACCUGGACAGCAGUGAUGGGUCCCCAUCCAUGGACACUGGAAUUUAGGGUGGAAGACUGGCAUUUGGAAAGGCAGGCUGACUUCGCUGGACUGACAGCUGGACAGAGAGCUGGCUCGGCCUUCCUUGGUGUGGGAACUGCCUGGGAGACUCAGCAUAAAGGAGCAGAGGUGGAUCGCUCCUGCAGGCAUGUGGUUCCCAAAACAGAAAAGGGGACAGUGAGAAAACUGAGGCACAGAGAAGUUGAAAGCUGCCUAAGGUUCUGCAAUGAAUGAGUGCCACUGUCAGAAUUCCAACACAAAGGACCAGCUGCAGAGCCCAGGAUCUUAACUACUCUGCUAAUCCUUGUGGGCAAAAAUUAUGCAUAUGUAAAUGCUCUUUGCUUAAAUACAGAUGUGGAUGGAUGAACGUAUGUAGGUCAGCCUACCACCAUUUUUCCCUUUUCCUCUUGCUUUUUUUUUUCUUUACAGGAAAAUUACUUGUUUUAUUUCAUAAUAUAUUUGCAUGCUUUUCCAGCUAUAAACAUAGAGAAUUAAGUUCAUCUUUGACAAUAGUUGUCUCAUAAUUCAUGGUCAAAUAUGCUAUAUUUAGCCAUUUCAUUACUCACAGGCAUUUAGAUUCUUUCCAUUUGUUUUCUCUUGAAAUCAAUGCUGCAAUAAACAUCCCUAUGCACAAAA